This 492-nucleotide ribosomal RNA is filed under the name uncultured bacterium. RNAcentral's name for it is "partial 16S ribosomal RNA". It matches the Rfam family "Bacterial small subunit ribosomal RNA", at positions 29 to 507 of the family's 1533-position model. The record is from RNAcentral.
AGUGAACGCUGGCGGUAGGCCUAACACAUGCAAGUCGAACGGCAGCACAGUAAGAGCUUGCUCUUACGGGUGGCGAGUGGCGGACGGGUGAGGAAUACAUCGGAAUCUACUUUUUCGUGGGGGAUAACGUAGGGAAACUUACGCUAAUACCGCAUACGACCUACCGGUGAAAGCAGGGGAUCUUCGGACCUUGCGCGAUUGAAUUAGCCGAUGUCGGAUUAGCUAGUUGGCGGGGUAAAGGCCCACCAAGGCGACGAUCCGUAGCUGGUCUGAGAGGAUGAUCAGCCACACUGGAACUGAGACACGGUCCAGACUCCUACGGGAGGCAGCAGUGGGGAAUAUUGGACAAUGGGCGCAAGCCUGAUCCAGCCAUACCGCGUGAGUGAAGAAGGCCUUCGGGUUGUAAAGCCCUUUUGUUGGGAAAGAAAAGCAGCAGGUUAAUACCCCGCUGUUCUGACGGUACCCAAAGAAUAAGCACCGGCUAACUUCGUG